RNAcentral lists this ribosomal RNA (274 nucleotides) under uncultured bacterium. Its description in RNAcentral is "partial 16S ribosomal RNA". It matches the Rfam family "Bacterial small subunit ribosomal RNA", at positions 523 to 796 of the family's 1533-position model. The record is from RNAcentral.
CUACGGAGGGUGCAAGCGUUACUCGGAAUCACUGGGCGUAAAGCGCGCGCAGGCGGGCUGAUAAGUUGGAUGUGAAAGCCUACGGCUCAACCGUAGAACUGCAUCCAAAACUGUCAGUCUAGAGUGUGGGAGAGGAAGAUGGAAUUAGUUGUGUAGGGGUAAAAUCCGUAGAGAUAACUAGGAAUACCAAAAGCGAAGGCAAUCUUCUGGAACACUACUGACGCUGAGGCGCGAAGGCGUGGGGAGCAAACAGGAUUAGAAACCCUUGUAGUCC